CCUACGGGAGGCAGCAGUGGGGAAUAUUGGGCAAUGGGCGCAAGCCUGACCCAGCAACGCCGCGUGAAGGAAGAAGGCUUUCGGGUUGUAAACUUCUUUUAAGAGGGAAGAGCAGAAGACGGUACCUCUUGAAUAAGCCACGGCUAACUAAGUGCCAGCAGCCGCGGUAAUACGUAGGUGGCAAGCGUUGUCCGGGUUUACUGGGUGUAAAGGGCGUGUAGCCGGGCUGAGAAGUCAGAUGUGAAAUUCCGGGGGUCAACCCCGGACCUGCAUUUGAAACUGUUGGUCUUGAGUAACGGAGAGGCAGGCGGAAUGCGUGGUGUAGCGGUGAAAUGCGUAGAUAUUAGGAGGAACACCAGUGGCGAAGGCGGCCUGCUGGACGACAACUGACGGUGAGGCGCGAAAGCGUGGGGAGCGAACAGGAUUAGAUACCCCAGUAGUC
This 442-nucleotide ribosomal RNA is filed under the name uncultured bacterium. RNAcentral describes it as "partial 16S ribosomal RNA". It matches the Rfam family "Bacterial small subunit ribosomal RNA", at positions 338 to 795 of the family's 1533-position model. The record is from RNAcentral.